Molecule: ribosomal RNA, 510 nt
Filed under: uncultured bacterium
Lineage: Bacteria
Description: bacterial SSU rRNA
Rfam family: Bacterial small subunit ribosomal RNA
Source: RNAcentral
CUGGCGGCGUGCCUAAUACAUGCAAGUCGAACGGCUUUUCUAUGGAAGCUUGCUUCCACUGAGAAGAUAGUGGCGAACGGGUGAGUAACACGUGGGUAACCUGCCCAUAAGAGGGGGGAUAACAUCCGGAAACGGGUGCUAAUACCGCAUAGUUUUCUUGAUUGCAUGAUUGAGAAAGGAAAGACGGCCUUUGUGCUGUCGCUUAUGGAUGGACCCGCGGCGUAUUAGUUAGUUGGUGAGGUAACGGCUCACCAAAACGAUGAUACGUAGCCGACCUGAGAGGGUGAUCGGCCACAUUGGGACUGAGACACGGCCCAAACUCCUACGGGAGGCAGCAGUAGGGAAUCUUCCGCAAUGGACGAAAGUCUGACGGAGCAACGCCGCGUGAGUGAAAGAAGGUUUUCGGAUCGUAAAACUCUGUUGUCAGAGAAGAACAAGUUGGAGAGUAACUGCUCCAGCCUUGACGGUAUCUGACCAGAAAGCCACGGCUAACUACGUGCCAGCCGCGGC